UUUCCGUAGGUGAACCUGCGGAAGGAUCAUUAGAGAAUCAACGGAGGGGGAGUUUUCGGACUCCCUUUUCCUACCCACACACCUGUGCACCGUUCCGUCCUUCUCCCCUUCGCGGGGGAGUUGGGCGUGUCUUUUUGAAAAAUCUCUUCAGUAGUCUUUGUAUAAGUUGGAUAAAUUAAAUUAAGGAAAACUUUCAACAACGGAUCUCUUGGCUCUCGCAUCGAUGAAGAACGCAGC
Molecule: unclassified non-coding RNA, 237 nt
Filed under: uncultured fungus
Lineage: Eukaryota; Fungi
Description: sequence contains ITS1, 5.8S rRNA gene
Rfam family: 5.8S ribosomal RNA (bases 189-237)
Source: RNAcentral